This 58-nucleotide transfer RNA is filed under the name Dipodomys ordii (Ord's kangaroo rat). It matches the Rfam family "tRNA", at positions 8 to 63 of the family's 71-position model. Rfam says of the family: Transfer RNA (tRNA) molecules are approximately 80 nucleotides in length. Their secondary structure includes four short double-helical elements and three loops (D, anti-codon, and T loops). Lineage: Eukaryota; Metazoa; Chordata; Mammalia; Rodentia; Heteromyidae. The record is from Rfam by way of RNAcentral.
UGGCUCAGUGGUAGAGUACUUGCCUUGCAUGCAUGAGGUUCUGGGUUCAAUUCCUCAG